Molecule: long non-coding RNA, 435 nt
Filed under: Trifolium pratense (red clover)
Lineage: Eukaryota; Viridiplantae; Streptophyta; Magnoliopsida; Fabales; Fabaceae
Description: long non-coding RNA (TPRA_LNC009320)
Source: RNAcentral
AAAGUUCCAAAUUAUGGAAAAAAGUUUGUAUAUAAGGAAAACAAGGAACUAUCUUGUUUGUAAUUAUUGCUUCAUUUAGUCUCAAAUGUGAAUGUACAUGUCUGUACAGAUGUGAACUGGUUUCAUCAGAAUGUUGUUAGUGAAAGUCUCGAAACAUUGUAAUAUUGAAGGUUCUUUUUAGUAUUAAUUUAUUUAUCUUAUAUGAAUGUGUGAUCCUCUCCAUAAAGAUAAGCAUAUGAAAUUUAGUUAGACCGAAGUAUCUGUUGAAAUGUCGCAUGCUAAUUGCUUCAGUAAUGUAAAAUGAAAAGUAUUCAGCAAACUAAGUUUCAUUUUUUAGAUAUAUUACUGUUCCUGGACACAUUAGUUAUGGUCUAGGAUUGCUAAUUAAUGCAUAGGCAAUCUUAAUGUGUACAAAGUUGAUUCAUUAAAAAAAAC